RNAcentral lists this ribosomal RNA (469 nucleotides) under uncultured bacterium. Its description in RNAcentral is "partial 16S ribosomal RNA". It matches the Rfam family "Bacterial small subunit ribosomal RNA", at positions 28 to 507 of the family's 1533-position model. The record is from RNAcentral.
GACGAACGCUGGCGGCGUGCUUAACACAUGCAAGUCGAACGGAAAGGCCCUGCUUUUGUGGGGUGCUCGAGUGGCGAACGGGUGAGUAACACGUGAGUAACCUGCCCUUGACUUUGGGAUAACUUCAGGAAACUGGGGCUAAUACCGGAUAGGAGCUCCUGCUGCAUGGUAGGGGGUUGGAAAGUUUCGGCGGUUGGGGAUGGACUCGCGGCUUAUCAGCUUGUUGGUGGGGUAGUGGCUUACCAAGGCUUUGACGGGUAGCCGGCCUGAGAGGGUGACCGGCCACAUUGGGACUGAGAUACGGCCCAGACUCCUACGGGAGGCAGCAGUGGGGAAUAUUGCACAAUGGGCGGAAGCCUGAUGCAGCAACGCCGCGUGCGGGAUGACGGCCUUCGGGUUGUAAACCGCUUUCGCCUGUGACGAAGCGUGAGUGACGGUAAUGGGUAAAGAAGCACCGGCUAACUACGUG